RNAcentral lists this ribosomal RNA (442 nucleotides) under uncultured Anaerolineaceae bacterium. Its description in RNAcentral is "bacterial SSU rRNA". It matches the Rfam family "Bacterial small subunit ribosomal RNA", at positions 925 to 1382 of the family's 1533-position model. The record is from RNAcentral. Lineage: Bacteria; Bacillati; Chloroflexota; Anaerolineae; Anaerolineales; Anaerolineaceae.
ACAAGCAGCGAGCGUGUGGUUUAAUUCGAUGCUACACGAAGAACCUUACCAGGGUUCGACAUGUAAGUGGUAGUGAUCUGAAAAGUCGAACGACCCUCGGGGAGCUUACACAGGUGCUGCAUGGCUGUCGUCAGCUCGUGCCGUGGGAUGUUCGGUUAAGUCCGCUAACGAGCGCAACCCUCGCCGUAUGUUACAAGUGUCAUACGGGACUGCCGGUAAAAGCCGGAGGAAGGUGAGGAUGAUGUCAAGUCAGCAUGACCUUUAUAUCCAGGGCUACACACACGCUACAAUGGUCUGUACAAUUGGUUGCCAAGCCGCGAGGCGGAGCCAAUCCGUAAAGCAGGCCUCAGUUCAGAUUGCAGUCUGCAACUCGACUGCAUGAAGCCGGAGUUGCUAGUAACCGCAGGUCAGCAAUACUGCGGUGAAUACGUUCCCGGGUCUU